AUUGUGGUCUGUGCCCCAGGUGGGGCUGUGGCCUGUGUCCUCCAGUGGGUGCUGCAGAUGCAUGGAUAGAUGGAAGGAAGGAAAGAUGAAAAGACAGAUGGCUGUGUGCUUGGGGCUCCCAAGAGUGAAGCAAGGCUGGGCAGGACCUGGCUGACUCAGCAGGAUCAGGAGCCUAGCAGGGGUCUCCUUUCCUCAAGUUGGCCUUGACGCUGUGCCUGGGACUGUCUCGAAAGAGCUCUGCCCUGUGAGCCCAAGAGGAGACUGCCUGUGUGCUUUUGGGUGGCUUUGCUCACCAGGGCCUUCAGCACCUGGAGCCACAGGCCGAGCCCAGGGAGCCACCCCUCCCGGAGGAGGGACGAGGCUUGCCUGCUGGGCCUGGGCACCCUGCCGUCCCCAUUCCUCCCAGUCACCUCGUGGCUAUGUUGCUCUCUUUCAGUUGUGUGGCUGAGUGUGAACUGUUUUGUCCUUCCUCAUUGAAGUCUCUCCUGGGUUUUCUUAAGGCGCGCCCCGCUUGGCGAUGGUUUCGGACCGGCCAUUGUCAAGGAAGCCCCUCUCCAUCCUGAGACAUACCUAUCCAAACACAAGAACACGAGAAGAGCUGAUCAGGAACUAACUUUACACUUGGAGGAAAAAUGGCCAAAGAGCUCAGAGAAGGUGCUCAGGACUCCAGCGCCACCCUUCCACCUCCUUCCCCCAAUCGCCAAAGUAACACGAUCAAGAAGAGGAGAGUCACUUUGGGAUGGCUAGGUGGACUCAACUGCUCACUUGAUGGUGAAGACACAACUGACCCACCGCCGGUUGAGCUGUCUCUUUUGGCCGGCCAGCACCUCAUCUCCUGGCAACCACUAUUUCCUGAGAAGAGGCAGAUGGUAUAGAUAGAGAUUUGGAACUGGUUUCACCUCUCUUCCACCCUGUGUCCAUUGAAGAUGCUGAUAAUUGAUCAUUUUCACAAGGUCCUGAUGGUCUCAGACUCAACAUCAGAAUUUUCAACACAAAUCUCCAGGCAAGCAGUGCCAUCUACUUGAAUUGUCACUUGAUGAAAAAUUCUCUUUGCCAUUCUAGAAUAGUGUAUAGCACAUAUAUAAUGAAAUCAUACAGACUUGGUUGAAAUCCAUGAUUCUCAUCUUAAUCCUGGAUCUAAGUUACUUGACUUCUCUAAGCCGCAGUUUCCUCAUUUUAAAUUUAGGAAUGAAAACAUGUAACUCAGAGGGCUACUGUUAAUUAAAAGGCAGCAAACAAUGACAGUGUAUCAUUUGUGCAUUUAAUAACGUAAAUUCAAUGAUCAUGCUCUGAAAAGAGCAAGCGGGAGAGAGAGAAGUCAGUAACAGUUCCACUCAAUGUGCAUGCACCCCCGAG
RNAcentral lists this long non-coding RNA (1356 nucleotides) under Equus caballus (horse). Its description in RNAcentral is "lncRNA (ENSECAG00000044107.1)". The record is from RNAcentral. Lineage: Eukaryota; Metazoa; Chordata; Mammalia; Perissodactyla; Equidae.